This 477-nucleotide long non-coding RNA is filed under the name Phascolarctos cinereus (koala). RNAcentral's name for it is "lncRNA (ENSPCIG00000006085.2)". Lineage: Eukaryota; Metazoa; Chordata; Mammalia; Diprotodontia; Phascolarctidae. The record is from RNAcentral.
AUGCUCAUAGAUUCCUGGAGUCUAAUUGUUCCCUUCAUCUCCACAGCUCUGCCUGUAAGAACUGCCCUUUCCCAAAGCAGGAAGGACCAAGGAGGAGGAAGAGGAAGAAAUGGUUCCUGUGUGCCUGACGGCUGGGGCUCUGGGGCUCCCACCCCACUUACCAGAGACUUGGACACAGGCUGGAAACGGUCAAGCCCAAGAUGCUGGGAUUCUGAGCAGAGCAGCCAGUAUUGGCUUCUAGGUGAUUCCUGUCAAUCCAAGAUGAACUGCCAGGUAUUUGUCAAUCCAGCACUUUCCUGGAUAGUUUUAAGUUCUCCCCUAGUCAGUGGAUAUGUAUCAUCUUGGGAAGUCUUAGAUUUUUCCCUUUAUGUAUAACUCUUUUCUGCUUGGGGGAGCUAAGGGAUUAGACCAGAGGUGCUGGCUGGGCUGGGCAGCCAGCGUCAGGGUUGGCCCUUAAUAAAAAAAAAAAAAAGGACA